Molecule: transfer RNA, 71 nt
Filed under: Bacillota bacterium
Lineage: Bacteria; Bacillati; Bacillota
Also listed under: 2 other names
Description: tRNA-Gln
Rfam family: tRNA
About the family: Transfer RNA (tRNA) molecules are approximately 80 nucleotides in length. Their secondary structure includes four short double-helical elements and three loops (D, anti-codon, and T loops).
Source: RNAcentral
UGGGGAGUGGUCUAAAGGCAGGACAACGGACUCUGGAUCCGUAUGUGGGGGUUCGAAUCCUCCCUCCCCAG